CUGCUCAGGCCUCACCCCACACCUGGUGAACCCUGAUCUCGGCCGGGUGCUCAGCUCUGGAGGGCUUGCAAAGUCCUGCAAGUGUCUGUGCAUGGAGAAGGUAUAGGUGGAAAAAGCAGGUUAUAUCUAGACUUCUUAUAGUCCAACUUGCAAUGAAUAUAUGUUCAGACUAACUCUUCAUUAAGAAGAAAUGUUAAUGAAGCACACUUUCUAGAGGCUGGUAUCUUCUUCUAAACCAAAAGGAAAAAAAAAAAAGACAAGGGCAUGAAUAGUGAAGUUGUCAGGUAACAUUUUCUUGUUUCAAUAAUUUUACUUUUUGAAUACUUUAGAAAAUAAAGCCAUGUUUUAACUGAGAUUAUUAACUAAGUACAAAACUAUGUGUUGUUUUAUUUGUAGAUGCAGAAUAUUACAAAUAUCUGCAGCAAGCCCAUGAAGUAUUUCUAUUGUCCAUAUCAAUAUUUUAGUAUAAAAUAUAUGCAAAUGUUUCAAUUAAACAAAACCAAGGAAUUCAAAACAAGCUGCAGAGAAACAUGCAAUGAAGGCUGAAAUUUAUAAAUUAAAAAUACCAUCUAUACAUAAUGUACAGUCAUGCAUUUAGAAAUGAAUAUUAUAUGUCUCAAGAGUAAAUUUUCACAGGCAAAUGCUGCUGCAAAAAUGUUUGCUAAUACAAAGGGAUGAGAUUUUAGUACAUUCUGCAUUAAUAUUUUAACCCAAGAAGUUGAAAUUUGGUAUUUUUUUCUUCCAAGCUGUCCAAAAAUCUACAGGAGUAAAAUCCCAAUUUUUUGUGCAUCUCAUUUGAAGUGUUUUACCAGGAACACAUUUUCCAAACUUCAGGUAAAACAAAUAUUUUAUUAGCUAGAAAAAUUCUAUAAAGAUAAACUUCUCCUUGCCCUUUUGGUUAUGCUGACUAGUUUUUAAAUAAUAAAUUGGCUCCUUAGCAUUCUUUACAAGUGAUUAAUGAGUUUACUUUUUCAGGUAUCACACUAGAUUUAUGCAUUUAAGUAUGCUUGAUAUAUAUCAGUAUAUUUCAUUUGUUAUUCUACUGAUGUUCAAAUUAUCCCAUCUUUGAUGAGUUGGAUCCUCUUUAAACGGGUUUGGAUAGAACUCUGGAAGUUUUUCAAGAUAGUGGCUUGACUAAGUCGUUUUAAUGGAAAUAUUCAACAGGUUGCUGGGCUUAGAAAGGCAGAAAGAGCCAACUAAUUGAAGGCUCCCUUCUCAGAUGGCAUUUGGUGUAGUGGCACCAAAUGAUUUCCUUGCCUUCCUGUUAUCUGAUUUGUUCACAUUUUAAUUCCUUGUUUCAUUGCAAGGUAUCUCGUGCCUAGCCAGUAUGUCCUGAGUUUCUCUCUCUGUUCCUCCAAGAAAACUUUGAAAGCAGUUAUACUUCUCUAUUGAGAGCAUAGUGCGCUAUUGACUUGUGAGUACAGUUAACGCACGCCUUCCUUUUCUCAGAGAUUUGCUAAGCACCUACUAAUGUGGCCGGUAUCAAAGAGGAUAAGACAGACAUGAGUUUGCUCAUGAUGACUUUCACAUUCUGUAGCAGAAGUCAGAGGAAGAACAAUGGACAAAUACAGAGCCUCGCGGUACCUGGAGGAAUUUGUUCUGUGAUGAAAGCAGUAAUGUGAUAGAGACUGGAGCAGGGAACUUCCUUAGCUUGUGUGGUCAGACAAAUCUCUUAAGAUUUGAGCCUCAUGAAGACCCAAGGGGAGUGAUGUCCAGGCAGAAGAAACAAGUGCAAAGGCCCUCAGGUGGGGAUGUGUGUGGUGUGUCAAAAGAGAAAGAGCACACUUAUCUCACUUAGUGGGACUGCACUAUACUAAAAUAUAAUUGGCCCCCAAGUAUCUAAGGAUUUGCUUCUUUGUUAGUUUACUCAUUUAUGCUUAGCCUGGUUCCGAAAAAGAUUUGAAAUAGCUCUUUGAAUGUUGCUGUUCCUUACAGGGCCUAUGGAUUUGAGACAAAUAAAAGUGAGUCCUGUAGCUGCAAAAGGCCAACAAACAACUGAAACAGGGCAUUAAGUCUAUCAUCCAGGAUAUGUCACUUAAUAAAUUAUUUUUAAGAAAAUUGUUGCACUGAAUUUAAUUUCAAAUCAGCAGACCCACUAUAUUCUCUAAUUAAUCAUGGCACAUACUAUUUACCAAACUCCUGUUAAAAACAAAUUUCUUUUGUACACAUUACAAAGAAAUGUUACAUAAAAUUAAGCACCAAGUAAUGACUUUAACUUGCAGUUAGUUAAUAAUACACAGAUGGUCACGCAGCUGUAAAGAAAGCUGCUUGGGACAUUAGCAGAUAUGCUGGCACACAGGAACUGGAAUCGGGCGUACUAUGAGUCCUGUGGGCCCAGCUCUGGGUGGGAGGAAGAGGACUUCUGAGUCAAAAGUCAGUCAAUGAUUUGCCUGCAGGAAUAGGUAGAAACUUGAGGGAGGUCUUUCCCAGAGAAAUCUGAAUGACUUCUAAGUUUCUCCAAUGGUUUGUAAGUUAUUUUUUCACUUCUAGCCCAGCAAAAAAGGGUUUUAUAAACUUAACAGAAUUUGCAUUCCAUAUGAGAUUUACCGAAUGACCUUGACUCAGAAGUUCUUUUCUGCCUUGCAAGAAGCUAUAAUUGUCCCAAGUUCUAUGAGCCACUUAACUCAGCUAAUUUCUUGGCACUUAAUGAUCCCAAGCUAAGACCUUCAGACGUUACAUUUUAGAAAUGAAAAGAAAAUAAAGCCCUAGGAUUUGAUGGAAACCAAUGGUACGUCUCUCUGAAAGUCUGCAGGCCACGCAAGCAAUCAUAUAAACAGAAAAAUGAAAGUUAUCUUAUAUUCUAGUGGAUGGGUUGAAAAUCAAUGGCCCAGCAGAUUUGUGAUUAAAAUUUGUUUAAGCCUCUAAAAAGGAGGAAUGGAAAGUUGUUAGGAGGCUGAAAAUCCUUCCUCUUUUACAGAACAGCUUUUUACAUAUUUUCCCAAUUCUCUUUACUGAUAUCUGAAAGCGAGGGCCAGGCAGAGAAAAGGGUUCACACAGUGAAAAAUCUCUGCUGACCUGCCUGGAGGCUUCAUGCCUGAGGAGUAGACUACUUGAGGUCAUUCAAGGCUCCACACAUUCACACUGUGACUCUUUUUUGUCAUCUCAAGUGUCCAUGUACCUCCUUUGGUUCACAUGCGAAAUGGGUAUCAAAGAACUAUGUACUUCAUGGUGACAACUUCUUAAACGGAUGGCAAACAUUCCUGGCAUAUGUAGGUUGGAGAUCACAUCAGUGCCAUCAUUACUUCUCUCAGGUGUUUGUGGCUGGUUACUGUUUCUCAAGGAUGCUGGUUAAGUCAGUCAUAAACUUUUGCACUGCUUAUUGAAUAGAAUGGCAACAAGGAAUUAUGUUAUUACUAGGCUUUGGGGCAAUGUAAUAAUGUGCUUACACAAACAGGCACACACCCCAUUACAGGACUAAUGAUGAGCUGAAGACAGAGAGGAAACUUAAGAGAAGGGAAGCUUCAGAAUGGGAUUAAUCAACAACUCCAAGGCAAAAUCAUGCUAUGCUUAUGUUUUCUGAAAAUAUUGACUUUAAAAAAUUAAACAUGGGGCUAAAACAAUGUCAUUGUCCCCAUAAUAGUCUAUGUGAUUAUUUCAGAUCAGAUGGAAUGCAGAAUAACAGAGAAAAGGUGCCCCAUGGAGAGUGUUGUACCCCUUCUCACCUUCAGAAAGGGCACUUGUGCAUGGUAGGAGGCUUGCUCUUUUUAUUUAGCUUCAACCCUAUCACCAAUGAUAAUGUUACACCCCCCCACACACACUGCUUCUUGCUCAAACACAUGCACUCAUAACUACUGGUAGCAGGAAAAGGUCUCUGUUUCUUCUUCCUGUGGAUUUUCAAAGCCAUUAUAGGCUUCUCCAAAAUACUUUGGGGCAGGGAGAGAAGUCUGAAUCCAGCAGAGUUGAAAAUGCAGGGAUCGAGAGAAUACAGAAUACAAGGCAGAGAAGAAGCCAUGAUUCCUUAAGGACAAUGCUGAGUUGGUGCUGGAAAUCAGGAAUCCUUCACUGAGCAAGUGAUAACUGUUUCAAACAGAGUCAUCUGGGAGCUGACCAAGGAGCCAAAUAGUAAAACUUUGAUGUGAAAUCUUUGUACAUAUGGUCCUACAAUAGGAGCAUGAAAGUGUUCCCUCACACAAACAGACGGUGUCAGGCAAAACCUUGACUAUAUCUGAUGGCAUGUUUACUGACCAUGCAAAUUUGGAGUUGAGCUUUGUGGGAGAUUAGAUUAUCAUUUGGCAAAUAUUCACUCCCUGUCCUCCCUAGCUCCAGCCCCUGUGUCCCUCCAUCCCUCCCUCCCCAGCUGAUGUUGGGCUUGGCCAUGGGACCUGCUUUGCCUGAUGGGAGAUUAGUAGACAUGACACAGCAGGGAGUGGAAAUGUGCAUGUGCUGUUGGGUGGCCUUUCUUCUACUUUUGCCAUGAGAAGAAAAUGUAAUCGCUAGUCUGGUGGUCUAACGAGGGGGAAGAAAACAUAAGGAGUCAAUCUGGACCAAGUGUAUAGCCUGAGAUCAAAUCCAAAUAUCUGAAGGAGAUUGUUUUUUAAAAUUACAGAGUUUGAGGGUGGUUUGUCAUAUAACAUUACUGUAGCUCUAGCUAUCAGAUACAAGAAGAACUGAUGAAGGAGCAAGUAAAGGAGGCAAGGAAUUUUCACUGUGCAGUAUCAGUAAGGCACAGUAAGUGAGGGAGAUGGUAAAGUCUCCAGCAGGGACUUGAAGAGGCCUGGAGAGAGGAGCUACUGUAUAGAGCAUUGACUCUGUGCAUGGCAAAAUGAGACUCUUGCUUAAUGUAGAUCGAGGUCAGCAUUUGGGACCAUUCUGUGUACAACUUAAUAUGUGUCAGUAUCCAUGAGAGCACUUAUUUUGGGGGUGAGGAGAAAGUAUGUGUUAGUUUCUUUAUUUUUUGUUUUGUAUAGGCUUAGAAGGAGGACAUGGACAUGGAGAAUGAAGGACAUACUCUAGCCUCUUCCAGCAGCUGAUUCCUAAGGCUGAGUUAUUAUCUAAUGGGGAUAAGGGUGAGGGCCAGAAGCCAAAGUGAUUUUCGUAACAGUAUGAUUACCUGGACCCCAAGGCAGCCCUUCUUGUACAUACCAAAGUAUGGCACAGAAGUAGAAUGGGGAUCAUUUUCCUCCACUCCCUUGAGCACCCAGAGUCAGCUCUGGCUCCUCAAAACUUGGUGGGUUGGGCCAAUGUUGCAUGUGUUUUAAGCACUGUGCUCUCACCAUGAGCAUUACCAUCUGGUGCUACAGGGAGCUUCCUGUCAGCCUGUUCUGAGUGGAGGUCUAGAGCGGGGAGGAUGGAGUGGGACUGUAUGGAUGCCUGAGUGGCGGGUGUGUGAGGAGACGAGACACUAUUUGGGGACUUCCAGGAACACAUAGGAGGACUUGGCAGGGGACUAGCAGGGUGGGGACAAGAGAAAGAAAUUUGAGACAAUAUUAAUGGGAGCUCAUCUGAACACCCAUGCUGAUGAAAGACAUUCCAGUUACUUUAUACAUGAGGUUAAAGGUCCAGCUGGCCCAAUUCCUAGCUGCCAAUACUCUUGAAACUAUCAUGAUGAUGCUGGGGGACAUGGAACUCUCUUCAAUUGCACAUUGGGCCCAACAGAUGACUCAACCCCUGGAAGAGGAGCAUCUAAGGUCCUCAAGAAAUGUGCGCUGCCAAUGGGUUAUGUCGAGAGUGUGUAUCACCCUCCCCACACCAUCGCUGUUCGCCAUCUUGCAGCAUCGCGGGGAGCUGCGAUUGCCCUCUUGGGCAUAGACAUAUAACAGCAAGGAAUACAUCACCCUCUGGACUCCAUAGUGGGUCCCUGCAGAAUAAUAUUGUUCCAGGCAGAAAUCAAGAGACACUUGGUGCUGAUUUGUGCUGCAGCUUCACACAGUAUAAACAGAAGCCGCCAGGGCUGUCCACUCAGCAUUUCUUUUCGGGCAUAGAAAAAAGAAAUGUUUUCCUUUUUAAAAGCAAAGAUGGAAGAAGGGCAUUUUCAGUGCAGGCUGCAGCUCUUUAUAACAUAAACUGCUUGGCCCAGGGGAAUUGAAAUGGAUGAAGCAUAUGCAAAGUCAGAUAAUGAAUGGAGCUUGGGUAAAAAGUAAUGUUAAAAGAAAUUGCUUUUUUUUUUUUUGGUAUCUGUAGUGAUGUUUGUUUAACUUCAACUUGGCCAGUGGUCCCAAUCUCAUUGACACUGAACAUUUGGGAGAGAGGACAGUAAUAUCUUUGUGAUCUGACAAUGAGCACAAUAGGAUUUCUUAUUUUUAAUUUAUGUGUAAAACAAAUUUUCUAUUGGAUACUCAUUGUAGGAAUUUCAAGGACCAUCAUUUGUUACACAUGAGAAGUGAAGCUACCACAUUUGCAGCUCACUGGUAGAACUCAGAGACACCACUUCCAUCCUCUAGGAUGCUAAGUUGGUUAGAUUAUUAAUGGACUGUGGAAAGAGGAACAAAGACAGAAUGGUAGACAAUCCCAGUUUAGACCUGAGCCAUGGCUUGUGGACCUGGGCCAGCCUUUUGCAUUCUCUGGGCCUUCUGAUUUCUGGGCCACAAAAGGGAUUACUUGUGUAUUGUAAACUAUGAACACUUAGCCCUGGAAGCCUGGGGUAACUGAGGUCCUGAGUUAAACAUCAGUCUGACUCCUAAAAGCAGCC
RNAcentral lists this long non-coding RNA (6628 nucleotides) under Heterocephalus glaber (naked mole-rat). RNAcentral describes it as "lncRNA (ENSHGLG00000042274.1)". Lineage: Eukaryota; Metazoa; Chordata; Mammalia; Rodentia; Bathyergidae. The record is from RNAcentral.